Molecule: transfer RNA, 72 nt
Organism: Methanoplanus limicola DSM 2279
Lineage: Archaea; Methanobacteriati; Methanobacteriota; Methanomicrobia; Methanomicrobiales; Methanomicrobiaceae
Rfam family: tRNA
About the family: Transfer RNA (tRNA) molecules are approximately 80 nucleotides in length. Their secondary structure includes four short double-helical elements and three loops (D, anti-codon, and T loops). Further hydrogen bonds mediate the characteristic L-shaped molecular structure. tRNAs have two regions of fundamental functional importance: the anti-codon, which is responsible for specific mRNA codon recognition, and the 3' end, to which the tRNAs corresponding amino acid is attached (by aminoacyl-tRNA synthetases). tRNAs cope with the degeneracy of the genetic code in two manners: having more than one tRNA (with a specific anti-codon) for a particular amino acid; and 'wobble' base-pairing, i.e. permitting non-standard base-pairing at the 3rd anti-codon position.
Source: Rfam
GCCUCGAUAGGGUAGUGGACAUCCUGGAAGCUUCCGGAGCUUUCGACCCGGGUUCGAGUCCCGGCCGGGGCA